RNAcentral lists this small nuclear RNA (278 nucleotides) under Microcebus murinus (gray mouse lemur). Its description in RNAcentral is "7SK RNA (ENSMICG00000024716.3)". It matches the Rfam family "7SK RNA". From Rfam's summary of the family: 7SK was discovered as an abundant small nuclear RNA in the mid-70s but a possible function has only recently been suggested. Two independent studies have found that 7SK RNA binds the CDK9/cyclin T complex (known as elongation factor P-TEFb). The record is from RNAcentral. Lineage: Eukaryota; Metazoa; Chordata; Mammalia; Primates; Cheirogaleidae.
UGUGAGGGUGAUCUGCUUUCAGAAUUCUGUCUCUGUUGGCCAGGAUUGAUGCAACUGAGCUGGCUGGCUGGGCAGGUGGCCCCUUCCUUCCUCACCUGAAGCUUUGUACCUAGUCAAAGGAAGCAGGGAGUGAAGGACCACCUGCCCGAGUUGGGUGUGUGGGAAAGUGUGCUUUUCUACGAGUCCUUCCAAACGAUCCCUCAAGGUCCAAGGGGAAGCUCGGGGGUGUUGGUGAGGGUUCAAUGACAUCAUGGAUAUAAAACACUUUGUAAACUCUA